GGGGACUAAAGUGCCAGGGCCCGGGGACCUCACGUAGGGGUCACUGCCUCCACUGCCUGGCCAGUCUCCAGGCUUUCCGGGACUGGCCUCCUCCUCCUCCUCCUCCUCCUUCUCCUCCUCCUCCAGGCCGGGUGGGAGGGAGGGGAGAGGGGCUGGGAGGGGGCCCUCCCCAGGGGUGAGGCCGGACUGGGGCGAGCACAGCUGGGCCAGCUUCAGGAGAACAGAAACGCCCGUGCCGCUGGUGGCCCCAGAGAAGAGGCUUCAGAGACACCUUUGGGGGUUGGAGACCCCAGCUGCUCUCAGCCGCUCCUGCCGUGGGCCCGACGCCCGCCUUGAGGGCCUCCAGGGGGUGACGGAGGAGAGAGCCUGGCUUCCCACACCCGCUCCGAGACCGCUGCGCCCUGACACGGGGACAUGGGUUCAAGCCCUGGUCCGGGAGGAUCCCACAUGCCGCGGAGCAACUAAACCCGUGUGCCACAACUACUGAGCCUGCGCUCUAGAGCCCACGAGCCACAGCUGCUGAGCCCACGUGCCACAACUACUGAAGCCCACGUGCCUAGAGCCCGUGCUCCAAAACAAGAGAAGCCACCGCAAUGAGAAGCCCGCUCGCCGCAACUAGAGAGAAGCCCACGUGCAGCAACGAAGACCCAACGCA
Molecule: long non-coding RNA, 655 nt
Organism: Eubalaena glacialis (North Atlantic right whale)
Lineage: Eukaryota; Metazoa; Chordata; Mammalia; Artiodactyla; Balaenidae
Exons: 3
Source: RefSeq, a predicted model, not a curated record